CCAUGGCAACGCGGCGCGGGAGGUAAAUGAGGGGCGAUCGCGUCUGGCGGCGGCCGCGUCCGUGAGGGGAGACCGGGACCGGGACCCGCCGCAGGGAGAGCGGGGGCUCCUGUGGGCUGCGCUUAAGCGUUGUGUUUUUAUUUCUGGAGCGCGGCGUCUCCGCGACACCGGCGCCUCUCACCCGGCGGGGGGAAGGCUGUGGAGAAUUGGUUGUCUUUUCACGCGGGGGAAGGUCUCCCUAGCUUCGUUUCUUCUGCCCGUGCAAAAGGGGGAAAAGAAGGCUGUGGGUGCUGUGGAGACGGGGAGGGUCCAUCUUCAGGGCUUGAUGUGGAGUCCCACCGCUCAGUAAAAAGACAUAGCCAUGGUAAUACAGGUUUGAUUCUUCUGAAGAGUAUUGAUAAUGCUUUUUAAGGAAAUGGAGUUAAUAUCCAAAAGGUUCCUUCCCAAGGUUGCAGGAUGUAAACUGAACUGCCCAAAUUUACUUUGUGUGCAAGUAUGCACGUGAUUCCGAUUUUUAGUUUUUCUUGUUGUUCUUGGCUACAGGCUGUAAAACUUUGCACACAUCCUAUAACGCCUCAAAUCUUAUUGCUUGUGGUGAAUGAAAAUGCUGCACAAACAUGGAUUUCCCAGUGCUUUUGAAGAUUUUUAGAUGUCGUGCAGGACUGUAGUUUAAAAACUCAGAAAGCAUGGUGGGAAGUCUGAUCGGUGUGAGUCCUGCCUCUACACGCUGAAAAAGAACUGCAUUCUGCUCAGCAUCACGCAUCCUUUGGUUGCCUGGUAAAUCCAUAGGAAAUCCCAGGGUCAUCAGCUGGUGCACCAAGCAUUGGCUCUGGCACUGCCGUACAUGCACGUACACGCACAAGGUGUCACUUCUGACAGCAUUUGUGAUGCUGUACUGUAGCUUGUUAGUUUCCCACGCUUUGGGAACCCCUGCUCUAGGUUGUGCUCGAAUGUGUGAGCUGACUGCAGACUACAGCUUACCGAUGCUGUGUUUCAUGAGAGACGGGAAACAGAAGACAAGACAGUUGCUGACAAUGGCUGAGAAUGUUUAAAGCCUAGAGGUCAUAGGUAUCUGCUGCAGAGGGACUGCAGAAGCAGUAAGGCUGCUCUAGACCAAAGGCAUUCCCUGGUUCUCAC
RNAcentral lists this long non-coding RNA (1137 nucleotides) under Aquila chrysaetos chrysaetos. Its description in RNAcentral is "lncRNA (ENSACCG00020002435.1)". The record is from RNAcentral. Lineage: Eukaryota; Metazoa; Chordata; Aves; Accipitriformes; Accipitridae.